RNAcentral lists this ribosomal RNA (253 nucleotides) under uncultured bacterium. RNAcentral describes it as "partial 16S ribosomal RNA". It matches the Rfam family "Bacterial small subunit ribosomal RNA", at positions 524 to 776 of the family's 1533-position model. The record is from RNAcentral.
UACGUAGGGUGCGAGCGUUGUCCGGAAUUAUUGGGCGUAAAGGGCUCGUAGGCGGUUUGUCGCGUCGGGCGUGAAAACACCGGGCUUAACUCGGUGCUUGCUUCCGAUACGGGCAGACUAGAGGCAUGCAGGGGAGAACGGAAUUCCUGGUGUAGCGGUGAAAUGCGCAGAUAUCAGGAGGAACACCGGUGGCGAAGGCGGUUCUCUGGGCAUGUUCUGACGCUGAGGAGCGAAAGUGUGGGGAGCGAACAGG